AUCCCAGGCUUGUGAGGUUACUGAAUUCCUUGGUGCUCUCGAAGUUUUGGAUUAAUCGAACCAAUGUGUUGUCAUUUUUGUUGACGAAACAAGCUCUUCUUACACGGUGAUCCUGGUGUUUGGCCCUUCGGCUCCGCGGGGAGGGCGUGCUACCUGCAGGCAUCUCGGAAAUGUUUGUUUGCUGCCGUGCUUCCACUUCGGAAACUUCUGCUUUGAUGUAAGACGUUCCAGGUGCCCUUCUGGAGGAAGGCUCUGCUUUAUUGGCCUCCAUAAAAAGAAAUAAAAGUCUCAGGAAAGCCGUGAGUUCCGUGAAGAAUGUGGAUGUGGUUUGAUGUGGAAGAGUUGUUGAUAUUUACUGUGUGUGCUUUGCAGUCCAGCUGCCUCAGCUCGUGCUGUCAGUAAGUAGGAACUUCACCUUCGGGUAACACCCAAACGUGCCUGCAAGAAUCAGAAAUGUUUGCCCAGGUCUUAACAGGAGACAAAAGGGAAAUAGUGUUGUUUGGGUGGCUGCUGGGACGUGCUCGAGCAGCUUUGGAGUCCUCCGUCAAGCUCAGGUAUUGAUUGUCUCGUUGCUCUGUCACUGCUGCAGCUCUGUGUAGAGCUGUAAGUGUGCAUUUGGGCUUCUUGAAACAAAACUGGAUUUCACAAUGCAAAAAUUGCAUGUAGUACCUUCACAAAAAUAAAUGCCCUUCUUAAAAGUAGAUUCUUUUGCAAGUAAAAAUGAUAGGAGGGGGUGAGGAGAAGAAAGGACUUCUGGUAGUUUACAAAAGGGUUUUUAUUUUAUUGUAGCUUAACUCGAUGCUAUCAAAGCUAUUUCGAACAACUACAGUCAUUGCCAAACCUGUGGCUAUUUCAGAAUAAUUUAGAAGCUUCGGGGCUAAGACAAAAAGUGGAGGAUAUUUAAACCUUUGAAACUGAGACUGUACAGAGUUGAGGAUGCACGGGAUGGGAGAUGCUGGCUCAUCCACACUUGUUCAGAUCUUCCAAAAUGUUUGGUAGCAGCCAGGACCAAAUUAAACCAAGGAUGGCACGUCCCUGCUGUUAUCUUCCCUCCCUGAGCAUGUACUGCAGGGAUAGCAGAGCCUCUGUAAACAAGCAUCACGUCCUGAGACAAAGGAGAUGCCUCAGUCUACUCGUGAGUAAGGCAGGCAGCAGCAGCAGCAUUUUGACAGGCAUUUCUGUUGUUCUGCUGCUGGCUGUGUGAAGACCCUUCUUGUUUCAAGUCUUCUCAUUUGAGCUUCGUGCCGUUUGGUGGAACAACGGGGCUGAACAGCUGAUCCCUGUCCACUCUCCUUGUGCUCCGUGGCUUUAUAAAUCGCUGUCAUGUACAUCCCUACGUUCUCUGUUUUCAAGGUUGAGUAGUCUUAGCUUUUGCCAGAUGACUUCUGUCAUCCUUCUGUGAACCUUGUCACUUCAAAACUUUUUAGUUUUUUUUUUUUUUAAGGUGAGCCCACCAAAGCCACCUGCACUUUGCGAUCAGGGUGACCAAGGGAUUUGCAUAGCGUAUAGUGAUUUAUCGCUUGUCCUGUUUCUUUUUCUAAUAAUUUCUGGCAAUGAUUUGUGU
RNAcentral lists this long non-coding RNA (1564 nucleotides) under Anas platyrhynchos platyrhynchos (common mallard). Its description in RNAcentral is "lncRNA (ENSAPLG00000028582.1)". Lineage: Eukaryota; Metazoa; Chordata; Aves; Anseriformes; Anatidae. The record is from RNAcentral.